This 465-nucleotide ribosomal RNA is filed under the name Terrahaemophilus aromaticivorans. RNAcentral's name for it is "bacterial SSU rRNA". It matches the Rfam family "Bacterial small subunit ribosomal RNA", at positions 30 to 483 of the family's 1533-position model. The record is from RNAcentral. Lineage: Bacteria; Pseudomonadati; Pseudomonadota; Gammaproteobacteria; Pasteurellales; Pasteurellaceae.
AUUGAACGCUGGCGGCAGGCUUAACACAUGCAAGUCGAACGGUAACAUGAAGAAGCUUGCUUCUUUGAUGACGAGUGGCGGACGGGUGAGUAAUGCUUGGGAAUCUAGCUUAUGGAGGGGGAUAACUACGGGAAACUGUAGCUAAUACCGCGUAGAAUCGAGAGAUGAAAGUGUGGGACCUUCGGGCCACAUGCCAUAGGAUGAGCCCAAGUGGGAUUAGGUAGUUGGUGAGGUAAAGGCUCACCAAGCCGACGAUCUCUAGCUGGUCUGAGAGGAUGACCAGCCACACUGGGACUGAGACACGGCCCAGACUCCUACGGGAGGCAGCAGUGGGGAAUAUUGCGCAAUGGGGGCAACCCUGACGCAGCCAUGCCGCGUGAAUGAAGAAGGCCUUCGGGUUGUAAAGUUCUUUCGGUAGCGAGGAAGGCAUUUAGUUUAAUAGACUAAGUGAUUGACGUAACUACA